UACGUAGGGGGCAAGCGUUGUCCGGAAUCAUUGGGCGUAAAGCGCGUGUAGGCGGCCCGGUAAGUCCGCUGUGAAAGUCGAGGGCUCAACCCUCGGAUGCCGGUGGAUACUGUCGGGCUAGAGUGCGGGAGAGGCGAGUGGAAUUCCUGGUGUAGCGGUGAAAUGCGCAGAUAUCAGGAGGAACACCAAUUGCGAAGGCAGCUCGCUGGAACGUAACUGACGCUGAGACGCGAAAGCGUGGGGAGCAAACAGG
This 253-nucleotide ribosomal RNA is filed under the name uncultured bacterium. RNAcentral describes it as "partial 16S ribosomal RNA". It matches the Rfam family "Bacterial small subunit ribosomal RNA", at positions 524 to 776 of the family's 1533-position model. The record is from RNAcentral.